CCUACGGGUGGCAGCAGUGGGGAAUAUUGCACAAUGGGGGAAACCCUGAUGCAGCGACGCCGCGUGAGUGAAGAAGUAAUGCGUUAUGUAAAGCUCUAUCAGCAGGGAAGAAAAUGACGGUACCUGAGUAAGAAGCCACGGCUAACUACGUGCCAGCAGCCGCGGUAAUCAGUAGGGGGCAAGCGUUAUCCGGAUUUACUGGGGGUAAAGGGAGCGUAGACGGCAGUGCAAGUCGGGAGUGAAAGGCGGGGGCUCAAACCCCGGGAUGCUGUGGAAACUGUACGGCUGGAGUGCAGGAGAGGUAAGUGGAAUGCCUGGUGUAGCGGUGAAAUGCGUAGAUAUUAGGAGGAACACCAGUGGCGAAGGCGGCUUACUGGACUGUAACUGACGUUGAGGCUCGAAAGCGUGGGGAGCAAACAGGAUUAGAUACCCGAGUAGUC
This 440-nucleotide ribosomal RNA is filed under the name uncultured bacterium. RNAcentral describes it as "partial 16S ribosomal RNA". It matches the Rfam family "Bacterial small subunit ribosomal RNA", at positions 338 to 795 of the family's 1533-position model. The record is from RNAcentral.